GGGUCAGUAGGUUGGUCGUGCCACCGGUACGUACUGGUCUCACUGAUUCCUCCUUCCUGAAGAACCGUAAUGCCAUUAAUUUGGUGUUGCGGGGAAACAGGACUGUUACUUUGAAAAAAUUAGAGUGUUUAAAGCAAGCUAACGCUUGAAUACAUUAGCAUGGGAUAAUGAAUUAGGACGAUCGAUCCUAUUUUGUUGGUUUCUAGGAUUGACGUA
This 216-nucleotide ribosomal RNA is filed under the name Glomeromycotina sp. Its description in RNAcentral is "partial small subunit ribosomal RNA". The stretch from base 40 to 216 matches the Rfam family "Eukaryotic small subunit ribosomal RNA", at positions 686 to 864 of the family's 1831-position model. Lineage: Eukaryota; Fungi; Glomeromycota. The record is from RNAcentral.